This 460-nucleotide ribosomal RNA is filed under the name uncultured bacterium. RNAcentral describes it as "partial 16S ribosomal RNA". It matches the Rfam family "Bacterial small subunit ribosomal RNA", at positions 338 to 795 of the family's 1533-position model. The record is from RNAcentral.
CCUACGGGUGGCAGCAGUGAGGAAUAUUGGUCAAUGGACGCAAGUCUGAACCAGCCAUGCCGCGUGCAGGAAGACGGCUCUAUGAGUUGUAAACUGCUUUUGUACGAGGGUAAACUCAGAUACGCGUAUCUGUCUGCAAGUAUCGUACGAAUAAGGAUCGGCUAACUCCGUGCCAGCAGCCGCGGUAAUACGGAGGAUUCAAGCGUUAUCCGGAUUUAUUGGGUUUAAAGGGAGCGUAGGCGGUCGGAUAAGUUAGAGGUGAAAUCCCGAGGCUCAACUUCGGAAUUGCCUCUGAUACUGGUCGGCUAGAGAGUAGUUGAGGUAGGCGGAAUGUAUGGUGUAGCGGUGAAAUGCUUAGAGAUCAUACAGAACACCGAUUGUGAAGGCAGCUUACCAAGCUACUUCUGACGUUGAGGCACGAAAGCGUGGGGAGCAAACAGGAUUAGAUACCCCAGUAGUC